Molecule: long non-coding RNA, 495 nt
Filed under: Ananas comosus (pineapple)
Lineage: Eukaryota; Viridiplantae; Streptophyta; Magnoliopsida; Poales; Bromeliaceae
Description: long non-coding RNA (ACOM_LNC008744)
Source: RNAcentral
GAUCGGUACAUACGUUUCAGUUUUAUUUAAUAAGUAGUUCGGUGCGGUUUGGUUUUAGAAAUUGAAAAACAAAAGAACUGAAUAAAUCGAACUGAUUGAAUUCUUUAUUGAGUUAAUAUCUAUUAAACUCUAUUAAUCCCCGUUUCUUUUGCCACGUGUCAUGUUUAUCUUAAUCCACGCUAAUUCAAUUCAUGUCAUCAAGCCACCUCAGAUCCAUUUGUUCAUUCGCCCCGGCCGCUUCGAUCGAUCCCUCGCCUCUUCGAUCCCUUCUCCAUUCCCGCCACUUCAAUCCCUGCCCCGCCGCUUCGGUCCCUCCCCCACUCCCGCCACUGCGAUCUCUACCCCGCCUCCACCCCGCCUCCUCUUCGAUCCCUCCUCUGCCUCUUCCAUCUCUCUCUACGCUUCAUCAUCUCCUUCCUCAAAACCCUAAUAAUCAGAGAGAGAGAAGAGAGCACGCACGACGCCUCUUCUCUUUCACCUACCUCCGCCUUUCAC